Molecule: long non-coding RNA, 578 nt
Organism: Bubalus bubalis (water buffalo)
Lineage: Eukaryota; Metazoa; Chordata; Mammalia; Artiodactyla; Bovidae
Exons: 3
Source: RefSeq, a predicted model, not a curated record
CCAAAGGACAAAGUUUUCAAACCACUUUCUCAUUGAUCCUGUUCCUUGAAGACAGAGCCCGAGGACAUGUAGCUCUCCAGACCUCAGGACUCCUGCCCAGGCCCCGACCCUGAGAAGGCAUCAGGAAGCAUCCAUGCAGAAACCCAGUUUUUGCUCUUGAAGCUUUCAACUGAUUGGAUGAGACCCACCCAGAUCAUCAGUGGUCAUCCUGAGUUCAAGCCAGAAGAUGGUGGCUGUUAAGCAUGUGCACAAGAUACUCGGAACAACACUAGUGUGGUUAAAUGACGAGGACCAGAAAGAUCCAAAGAUGUUGCAAGAAGAAGGGAAAGAACUAGCACAGGGAAAGGUGGAAAAGGUCAUGAGAGGCGGUGAGGGACAGCCGCCAAGGCAGGAGCAAGUGGGGACCAAGUCCACCCUGGAAGGGGUUUCUCUCAGCGGGGCAGGGAUGGCAGUGACAAGCCAUCCACGGCCUUCACUGAGCACUUCCCAAGUCCUCGGCCCCGGAGACCCGGUCAAGGACAAAACCAGGCUGGUCUUGCUCUCAACACAACCAUUAUCCCCUGAUGCAAGAGCAAAAA